This 442-nucleotide ribosomal RNA is filed under the name uncultured bacterium. RNAcentral's name for it is "partial 16S ribosomal RNA". It matches the Rfam family "Bacterial small subunit ribosomal RNA", at positions 338 to 795 of the family's 1533-position model. The record is from RNAcentral.
CCUACGGGUGGCUGCAGUGGGGGAUAUUGGGCAAUGGGCGCAAGCCUGAUGCAGCAAUGCCGCGUGGGCGAAGAAGUCUUUCGGUAUGUAAAGCCCUAUCAGCGGGGAAGAAGAGAUGACGGUACCUGAGUAAGAAGCCACGGCUAAAUACGUGCCAGCAGCCGCGGUAAUACGGAGGUUGCGAGCGUUGUCCGGAUUUAUUGGGUUUAAAGGGAGUGUAGAUGGGUUGUUAAGUCAGUUGUGAAAUCUUGAGGCUCAACCUUAAAAUUGCAAUUGAUACUGUCUGUCUUGAGUACUGGUGAGGUAGGCGGAAUUCGUUGUGUAGCGGUGAAAUGCGUAGAUAUCACGAAGAACUCCGAUGGCGAAGGCAGUUUACUAAACAGCCACUGACAGUGAGGCGCGAAAGCGUGGGGAGCAAACAGGAUUAGAUACCCUUGUAGUC